This is a non-coding RNA of Desmophyllum pertusum, 73 nucleotides long. Lineage: Eukaryota; Metazoa; Cnidaria; Anthozoa; Scleractinia; Caryophylliidae. The record is from the annotation of a GenBank genome assembly.
UCUCCUGGAGCUCAGUGGUAGAGCGUCUGUCCGGUGUGCCGAUGGUUUUUGGUUCGACUCCUGUUCUGGAGAA